RNAcentral lists this ribosomal RNA (429 nucleotides) under Actinomycetes bacterium. RNAcentral describes it as "Actinobacteria bacterium partial 16S ribosomal RNA". It matches the Rfam family "Bacterial small subunit ribosomal RNA", at positions 355 to 776 of the family's 1533-position model. The record is from RNAcentral. Lineage: Bacteria; Bacillati; Actinomycetota; Actinomycetes.
UAGGGAAUCUUCCGCAAUGGGCGAAAGCUUGACGGAGCAACGCCGCGUGAGUGAUGAAGGUCUUCGGACCGUAAAACUCUGUUCUUAGGGAAGAACAAAUGUGUAAGUAACUAUGCACGUCUUGACGGUACCUAAUCAGAAAGCCACGGCUAACUACGUGCCAGCAGCCGCGGCAAUACGUAGGUGGCAAGCGUUAUCCGGCUUUAUUGGGCGUAAAGCGCGCGUAGGCGGUUUUUUAAGUCUGAUGUGAAAGCCAACGGCUAAACCGUGGAGAGUAGUGAAAAGCUGGAAAACUUGAGUGGAGAAGAGUAAAGUGGAAUUCCAUGUGUAGCGGGGAAAUGCGAAGAGAUAUGGAGGAACACCAGUGGCGAAGGCGACUUUCUGGUCUGUAACUGACGCUGAUGUGCGAAAGCGUGGGGAUCAAACAGG